Molecule: ribosomal RNA, 459 nt
Filed under: uncultured bacterium
Lineage: Bacteria
Description: partial 16S ribosomal RNA
Rfam family: Bacterial small subunit ribosomal RNA
Source: RNAcentral
CCUACGGGGGGCAGCAGUGAGGAAUAUUGGUCAAUGGUCGGGAGACUGAACCAGCCAAGCCGCGUGAGGGAUGAAGGUACAGAGUAUCGUAAACCUCUUUUGUCAGGGAACAAAGACGGGGACGCGUCCCCGGAUGAGUGUACCUGAAGAAAAAGCAUCGGCUAAUUCCGUGCCAGCAGCCGCGGUAAUACGGAGGAUGCGAGCGUUAUCCGGAUUUAUUGGGUUUAAAGGGUGCGCAGGCGGUCUGUUAAGUCAGCGGUAAAAGCCCGGGGCUCAACCCCGGCCGGCCGUUGAAACUGGGAGUCUCGAGUGGGCGAGAAGUAUGCGGAAUGCGCGGUGUAGCGGUGAAAUGCAUAGAUAUCGCGCAGAACUCCGAUUGCGAAGGCAGCAUGCCGGCUCCACACUGACGCUGAGGCACGAAAGCGUGGGUAUCGAACAGGAUUAGAUACCCGGGUAGUC